UAGGGAAUAUUGGGCAAUGGGCGAAAGCCUGACCCAGCAACGCCGCGUGCAUGAUGAAGGUCUUCGGAUCGUAAAAUGCUUUUCUGAGAGAUGAGAAAGGACAGUAUCUCAGGAAUAAGUCUCGGCUAACUACGUGCCAGCAGCCGCGGUAAAACGUAGGAGGCAAGCGUUAUCCGGAUUUACUGGGCGUAAAGCGCGUGCAGGCGGUUCGGUAAGUUGGAUGUGAAAGCUCCUGGCUCAACUGGGAGAGGUCGUUCAAUACUACCGGACUUGAGAGCGGUAGAGGGAGGUGGAAUUCCCGGUGUAGUGGUGAAAUGCGUAGAUAUCGGGAGGAACACCAGUGGCGAAAGCGGCCUCCUGGACCGUUUCUGACGCUCAGACGCGAAAGCUAGGGUAGCAAACGGGAUUAGAGACCCCGGUAGUCCUAGCUGUAAACGAUGUGAACUUGGCGUCGGCGGGUUCAAAGCCGUCGGUGCCGAAGCUAACGCGAUAAGUUCACCGCCUGGGGACUACGGCCGCAAGGUUA
This 526-nucleotide ribosomal RNA is filed under the name uncultured bacterium. RNAcentral describes it as "bacterial SSU rRNA". It matches the Rfam family "Bacterial small subunit ribosomal RNA", at positions 355 to 896 of the family's 1533-position model. The record is from RNAcentral.